This 415-nucleotide ribosomal RNA is filed under the name uncultured microorganism. Its description in RNAcentral is "bacterial SSU rRNA". It matches the Rfam family "Archaeal small subunit ribosomal RNA", at positions 330 to 745 of the family's 1478-position model. The record is from RNAcentral.
GCGCAGCAGUCGCGAAACCUCCGCGAUGCGCGAAAGCGCGACGGGGUUACCCCGAGUGCCGUCCGCCGAGGACGGCUUUUGCCCAGUGUAGCCAGCUGGGCGAAUAAGGAGAGGGCAAGUCUGGUGUCAGCCGCCGCGGUAAUACCAGCUCUCCGAGUGGUGGGGACGCUUAUUGGGCCUAAAGCAUCCGUAGCCGGUCUGGCAAGUCCCUUGUUAAAUCCAACGAUUCAAUCGUUGGACUGCAAGGGAUACUGCCAGACUAGGGGGCGGGAGAGGCCGACGGUAUUCCCGGGGUAGGGGUGAAAAUCCUAUAAUCCCCGGGAGGACCACCAGUGGCGAAGGCUGUCGGCUAGAACGCGCCCGACGGUGAGGGGUGAAAGCUGGGGGAGCGAACCGGAUUAGAUACCCCCGUAGU